GAGUGUCUGGAGACAGAGAACUAUCCUUUCUUAUAGGAAUGGAAACAAUGGAGUACAUCACGUUCAGCCUUGAAGCUUUGCUGACUGAGGAAAGCCUGACUUUUUUUUGCCUCACAGAGCACACACCAGGAUUCAGGAGACAUGGUUUUGUCCCAUCACUGUCACUACCUUGGGAAUAUCCCUUGACCUUGCUGGAUCUCAGUUUCUUCAACACAGAUUAUAUAGCACAGCCUGCUUUAGAGGUUUCUGAGGAAAGAAGUCUGGCUCAGCACAGCUUGUUUGGGAGAUGGCGGGUAACAAUCAGAUUUCUAGAGAAAGACCUGGCAUCUGGAUGUGGCUGCUGUUGCUGAUGAGGAAAAAUGGAAAGUAAGAGUGUCCUGGGGAUGUUUACCAGCAAUCUGUCCUUAGCAUCAUCCUGAAAUGUUGAACCAGAUCAGACACCAGAAUGCUUAUAGAUGUUAGGAAACCAAAAUAGGUUUUAAGUAGAGAAAAAUAAAGUUGGAUCUAUUUAA
Molecule: long non-coding RNA, 512 nt
Organism: Panthera uncia (snow leopard)
Lineage: Eukaryota; Metazoa; Chordata; Mammalia; Carnivora; Felidae
Exons: 3
Source: RefSeq, a predicted model, not a curated record